GAUGAACGCUGGCGGCGUGCCUAAUACAUGCAAGUCGAGCGAACAGACGAGGAGCUUGCUCCUCUGACGUUAGCGGCGGACGGGUGAGUAACACGUGGAUAACCUACCUAUAAGACUGGGAUAACUUCGGGAAACCGGAGCUAAUACCGGAUAAUAUAUUGAACCGCAUGGUUCAAUAGUGAAAGACGGUUUUGCUGUCACUUAUAGAUGGAUCCGCGCGGCAUUAGCUAGUUGGUAAGGUAACGGCUUACCAAGGCAAGGAUGCGUAGCCGACCUGAGAGGGAGCAGCGCCACUGGGGAACAGACACGGGCCCGAGACCCCUGGGGGGGACCGGUGUAGAGAUUUGGCCGAAAGGGGCGAACGUGUGACAGCAAAGCGCCGCGUGAGAGAUGAAGCUUCGCGUUGUGAAAAACUCUUUUAGUGGGGAAAAAGAAAUGUGUAAAUACCAAGGCACGUUGACAGUGUCCCCAAUAAAAAAGCCGGGUCAAUCCGUG
This 495-nucleotide ribosomal RNA is filed under the name uncultured bacterium. RNAcentral's name for it is "partial 16S ribosomal RNA". It matches the Rfam family "Bacterial small subunit ribosomal RNA", at positions 28 to 507 of the family's 1533-position model. The record is from RNAcentral.